UACGUAGGGGGCAAGCGUUGUUCGGAAUUACUGGGCGUAAAGGGCGCGUAGGCGGCACAGCAAGUCGGGAGUGAAAUCCCCGGGCUUAACCUGGGAACUGCAUUUGUGACUGCAUCGCUGGAGUGCGGCAGAGGGGGAUGGAAUUCCGCGUGUAGCAGUGAAAUGCGUAGAUAUGCGGAGGAACACCGAUGGCGAAGGCAAUCCCCUGGGCCUGCACUGACGCUCAUGCACGAAAGCGUGGGGAGCAAACAGG
This 253-nucleotide ribosomal RNA is filed under the name uncultured bacterium. RNAcentral describes it as "partial 16S ribosomal RNA". It matches the Rfam family "Bacterial small subunit ribosomal RNA", at positions 524 to 776 of the family's 1533-position model. The record is from RNAcentral.